AUACGUAGGGGGCGAGCGUUGUCCGGAAUGAUUGGGCGUAAAGGGCGCGUAGGCGGCCCGGUAAGUCUGGAGUGAAAGUCCUGUUUUUAAGAUGGGAAUUGCUUUGGAUACUGUCGGGCUUGAGUGCAGGAGAGGUAAGUGGAAUUCCCAGUGUAGCGGUGAAAUGCGUAGAGAUUGGGAGGAACACCAGUGGCGAAGGCGACUUACUGGACUGUAACUGACGCUGAGGCGCGAAAGUGUGGGGAGCAAACAGGAUUAGAUACCCUGGUAGUCCACACUGUAAACGAUGAAUGCUAGGUGUAGGGGGUAUCGACCCCUUCUGUGCCGCAGUCAACACAAUAAGCAUUCCGCCUGGGGAGUACGGCCGCAAGGUUGAAACUCAAGGGAAUUGACGGGG
RNAcentral lists this ribosomal RNA (397 nucleotides) under uncultured bacterium. RNAcentral describes it as "partial 16S ribosomal RNA". It matches the Rfam family "Bacterial small subunit ribosomal RNA", at positions 523 to 918 of the family's 1533-position model. The record is from RNAcentral.